This is a non-coding RNA of Cicer arietinum (chickpea), 436 nucleotides long. NCBI's taxonomy places the organism in Eukaryota, Viridiplantae, Streptophyta, Magnoliopsida, Fabales, Fabaceae. The record is from RefSeq and is a predicted model, not a curated record.
CAACUGAACACAUAAACGCGAUGGAAAUCCGAUUGAGUCGUUGCAUCACUUUGCCAAAAUGAUGAACCAUAGAUUGCGAUUCCAACUCUAGCUCGCGGUUCGAUCAAGUUCAUCCACCUCAUUCCCUCUUCUUGACCAUUGUUGAUAAUUCAUUUGUGCAAGUCAUGUACGUGUUGAUAAAGAUGAUUCAGACGAUGAUAUACAAGUAAUGGAACGCGUCUCAUGAAGUGGAAAACAAAAAGUACAAGUAAUAUCCAGAAAAGAGUCAACAUCACAACAAAUGGGACAUACACUUGUAGCAUGGGAUCAAGCAUCUUUGGCGAAAGCAGAAAAGUAUAGCAGGGAUAAGAGUAAAGAUAAGAGUAGGGAUAAGAGUGUGGAGGCAUUUCAGAUGGCUGCUCUUGAAGAGAUAGAAGGCAUUCCAGAUGACAUAUAU